This 816-nucleotide ribosomal RNA is filed under the name Mycena aff. discobasis. RNAcentral describes it as "partial large subunit ribosomal RNA". It matches the Rfam family "Eukaryotic large subunit ribosomal RNA", at positions 87 to 893 of the family's 3401-position model. The record is from RNAcentral. Lineage: Eukaryota; Fungi; Basidiomycota; Agaricomycetes; Agaricales; Mycenaceae.
CUGCGAGUGAAGCGGGAAAAGCUCAAAUUUAAAAUCUGGCGGUUUCACCGUCCGAGUUGUAAUUUAGAGAAGUGUUACCCGUGCUGGACCGUGUACAAGUCUCCUGGAAUGGAGCGUCGUGGAGGGUGAGAAUCCCGUACAUGACACGGACUACCAGGACAUUGUGGUGCGCUCUCGAAGAGUCGAGUUGUUUGGGAAUGCAGCUCAAAAUGGGUGGUAAAUUCCAUCUAAAGCUAAAUAUUGGGGAGAGACCGAUAGCGAACAAGUACCGUGAGGGAAAGAUGAAAAGAACUUUGGAAAGAGAGUUAAACAGUACGUGAAAUUGCUGAAAGGGAAACGCUUGAAGUCAGUCGCGUUGUGCGGGAUUCAGCCUGGCUUUUGCUUGGUGUACUUCCUGUAUGACGGGUCAGCAUCAGUUUUGACCGGUGGAUAAGGGCGUAGGGAAUGUGGCAUCCUCGGAUGUGUUAUAGCCUUGCGUCGCAUACAUCGGUUGGGACUGAGGAACUCAGCACGCCGCAAGGCGGGGUUUUACCACCUUCGUGCUUAGGAUGCUGGCAUAAUGGCUUUAAUCGACCCGUCUUGAAACACGGACCAAGGAGUCUAACAUGCCUGCGAGUGUUUGGGUGUUAAACCCGAGCGCGUAAUGAAAGUGAAAGUUGAGAUCCCUGUCGUGGGGAGCAUCGACGCCCGGAGCAGAACUUUUGGGACGCAUCCGCGGUUGAGCAUGUAUGUUGGGACCCGAAAGAUGGUGAACUAUGCCUGAAUAGGGUGAAGCCAGAGGAAACUCUGGUGGAGGCUCGUAGCGAUUCUGACGUG